AGCUGUCCAGCAGCUCCAAACUCUCUUCAGUGAUCUGUUGGACCAAUAGACACCUCUGCAGUGGACAAAGCCCUUCAGCUGACAGCACUGUCCAGGAGACAAGCACAGCUUCAAUGUGUCCAGGUUGCUGAAGCUUCAGGACCGAUGGCCUCUAUGCCAUGGCUGUAGUUAUUGGCUCUGAGGAUGUGUUGAAGUGCUUCAGAUCCCCACAGGGCAAAGGCAGGCAUGAGUGCCAAAAGAAUGGACCAUUCUGAAGCACCGGCAGGUCAGAGCAGAAAAUGAAGGAGAGGACUGCUGCUUCUCUCUGAACAGGGAGCUUCAAUAGGUAUAAGACACAUUCUACACAUAUGUAAAAAGGGUCCCUUUGUAUUACCCUUUUUAGCUGUUUUUUAAAUAUACUUUCAUUAGCAGCACAUUCUCUUUUCUGAGUGCAGAAUAAAGUCCCAUCUUCCGCAUAUAUUAAAUUGCAGCUUCUGCUUUCAGCAUGAUUGCUCCCUCUCUGGACCAGAUUCAUAAUGAGGAUUGCUUUUUAGU
Long non-coding RNA from Neopsephotus bourkii (Bourke's parrot), 534 nucleotides. RefSeq lists it as uncharacterized. NCBI's taxonomy places the organism in Eukaryota, Metazoa, Chordata, Aves, Psittaciformes, Psittacidae. The record is from RefSeq and is a predicted model, not a curated record. The transcript has 3 exons.